UGGUGCCUACGGGGGGCAGCAGUGGGGAAUAUUGGGCAAUGGGCGCAAGCCUGACCCAGCAACGCCGCGUGAAGGAAGAAGGCUUUCGGGUUGUAAACUUCUUUUCCCAGGGACGAAGAAAGUGACGGUACCUGAGGAAUAAGCCACGGCUAACUACGUGCCAGCAGCCGCGGUAAUACGUAGGCGGCAAGCGUUAUCCGGAUUUACUGGGUGUAAAGGGCGUGUAGGCGGGGAAGCAAGUCAGAUGGGAAAACCAAGG
RNAcentral lists this ribosomal RNA (259 nucleotides) under uncultured bacterium. RNAcentral's name for it is "partial 16S ribosomal RNA". It matches the Rfam family "Bacterial small subunit ribosomal RNA", at positions 333 to 606 of the family's 1533-position model. The record is from RNAcentral.